GUGAAUUAAUGUAAACUGCAUACUGCUUUGAACAUCGACAUCUUGAACGCAUAUUGCGGCCAUGGGUUAGCCUGUGGCCACGCCUGUCCGAGGGUCGGCUUAUAAACUAUCACGACGCCCAAAAAGUCGUGGCUUGGGUUUUGCCAGCUGGCAUGAUUUCCUCCGUGAGAAAUCACGCGAGGCGUCAGAUCUAUGGCGUUUCCCUAAUGUAUCCGGACGCAUCCUUUUGUUGGCUGCAAGCCAUGGUUGGAUGAGGUGACGGAAUCGUGGCUUAGUUUAGCUAUGCCCCGUUUUCAGCGUGUUUGGCGCUAAUUCAGUCGGCAUGCUUAUGACUACGGGUGGAGCUAAUAUUGGGUCGGUGCUCCGUUUUCAGUGUACUUGGCGUCAGUCGGUAUGCGUAUGAUCUCGGAGGUAAUCCCGUACCAGGCGCGUUUCGUUACUGCAAUUCUGCUUUGGUUUGACGUCACGGGAGGCAAUGCAUCUGAUGCUAUGCAUCUCACUUGGUGAGGCGCACAUAGAGACGUAACUAUGGCUUGUGGAUGAGCGGUGGAUUAUUUUUGGGUUGGUGCUCAGUUGUCCUUGUGACUUCAGGGGGUAAUUCCAUACCGGCCCGCUGUACCACAUACCCACAGCAAUGCGCUUCUAUGUCGUGUACUUGUCAGGUGUUAUGCAGUGCUUUGUGAGACCUAUGCACCGUAGUGUACCUAUGGCUUGUGGAUGAGCGGUGGAUUAUUUUUGGGUUGGUGCUCAGUUGUCCUUGUGACUUCGGGGGUAAUUCCAUACCGGGCCCGCUCUGCCACAUACCCACAGCAAUGCACCGGUGUAAUUGUCUUUACCUGACCUCGGAUCAGACGUGAUUACCCGCUG
Molecule: ribosomal RNA, 867 nt
Filed under: Philophthalmus sp. SMS-2011
Lineage: Eukaryota; Metazoa; Platyhelminthes; Trematoda; Plagiorchiida; Philophthalmidae
Description: eukaryotic LSU rRNA
Rfam family: 5.8S ribosomal RNA (bases 1-97)
Source: RNAcentral